ACCAGACUCCUACGGGAGGCAGCAGUGGGGAAUAUUGGGCAAUGGGCGCAAGCCUGACCCAGCAACGCCGCGUGAAGGAAGAAGGCUUUCGGGUUGUAAACUUCUUUUCUCAGGGACGAAGAAAGUGACGGUACCUGAGGAAUAAGCCACGGCUAACUACGUGCCAGCAGCCGCGGUAAUACGUAGGGGGCGAGCGUUAUCCGGAUUCACUGGGCGUAAAGGGAGCGCAGGCGGCACGGCAAGUCCGGUGUGAAAGCCCGGGGCCCAACCCCGGGACUGCACUGGAAACUGCCGGGCUGGAGUGUCGGAGGGGCAGGCGGAAUUCCCAGUGUAGCGGUGAAAUGCGUAGAUAUUAGGAGGAACACCGGUGGCGAAGGCGGCCUGCUGGACGACGACUGACGCUGAGGCUCGAAAGCGUGGGGAGCAAACAGGAUUAGAUACCCCAGUAA
Molecule: ribosomal RNA, 449 nt
Filed under: uncultured bacterium
Lineage: Bacteria
Description: bacterial SSU rRNA
Rfam family: Bacterial small subunit ribosomal RNA
Source: RNAcentral